Molecule: ribosomal RNA, 732 nt
Filed under: uncultured archaeon
Lineage: Archaea
Description: bacterial SSU rRNA
Rfam family: Archaeal small subunit ribosomal RNA
Source: RNAcentral
UGCGAGUCGAGAGGGUUCGGCCCUCGGCAGACUGCUCAGUAACACGUGGAUAACCUACCCUUAGGUGGAGGAUAAUCUCGGGAAACUGAGAAUAAUACUCCAUAGAUCUAGGCUGCUGGAAUGCAUCUAGAUUAAAAGCUCCGGCGCCUAAGGAUGGGUCUGCGGACUAUCAGGUUGUAGUCAGGGUAAAGACCUGACUAGCCUACGACGGAUAUGGGUUGUGAGAGCAAUAGCCCAGAGACGAUAUCUGAGACACGAUAUCGGGCCCUACGGGGCGCAGCAGGCGCGAAAUCUUCACACUGUGCGAAAGCGCGAUGAGGGAAUCCCAAGUGUUUGCUCGUAAGAGUAAACUGUUUCUUUGUUUAAAACGCAGAGAGAGUAAGGGCUGGGUAAGACGGGUGCCAGCCGCCGCGGUAAUACCUGCAGCUCAAGUGGUGAUCAUUAUUAUUGGGCCUAAAACGUCCGUAGCCGGUUUAGUAAACGCCUGGGUAAAUCGUGUAGCUUAACUAUACGACUUCCGGGUAGACUGCUAGACUUGAGACCGGGAGAGGCUAGAGGUACUCCUGGGGUAGAGGUGAAAUUCUGUAAUCCUAGGGGGACCACCAGUGGCGAAGGCGUCUAGCUAGAACGGGUCUAACGGUGAGGGACGAAGCCCUGGGGCACAAACCGGAUUAGAUACCCGGGUAGUCCAGGGUGUAAACGCUGCUUGCUUGAUGUUAGUUGGGCUCCGAG